GCGGGUAUAGUUUAGUGGUAAAAUCCUGGCCUUCCAAGCUAAGGAUGCGGGUUCGAUUCCCGCUACCCGCU
RNAcentral lists this transfer RNA (71 nucleotides) under Dionaea muscipula. Its description in RNAcentral is "tRNA-Gly". It matches the Rfam family "tRNA". Rfam says of the family: Transfer RNA (tRNA) molecules are approximately 80 nucleotides in length. Their secondary structure includes four short double-helical elements and three loops (D, anti-codon, and T loops). Further hydrogen bonds mediate the characteristic L-shaped molecular structure. tRNAs have two regions of fundamental functional importance: the anti-codon, which is responsible for specific mRNA codon recognition, and the 3' end, to which the tRNAs corresponding amino acid is attached (by aminoacyl-tRNA synthetases). tRNAs cope with the degeneracy of the genetic code in two manners: having more than one tRNA (with a specific anti-codon) for a particular amino acid; and 'wobble' base-pairing, i.e. permitting non-standard base-pairing at the 3rd anti-codon position. Lineage: Eukaryota; Viridiplantae; Streptophyta; Magnoliopsida; Caryophyllales; Droseraceae. The record is from RNAcentral.